This 433-nucleotide ribosomal RNA is filed under the name uncultured bacterium. Its description in RNAcentral is "partial 16S ribosomal RNA". It matches the Rfam family "Bacterial small subunit ribosomal RNA", at positions 29 to 507 of the family's 1533-position model. The record is from RNAcentral.
AACGAACGCUGGCGGCAUGCCUAACACAUGCAAGUCUAACGAGACCUUCGGGUCUAGUGGCGCACGGGUGCGUAACGCGUGGGAACCUGCCUUUAGGUUCGGAAUAACUCAGAGAAAUUUGAGCUAAUACCGGAUGAUGUCUUCGGACCAAAGAUUUAUCGCCUUUAGAUGGGCCCGCGUUGGAUUAGCUAGUUGGUGGGGUAAAGGCCUACCAAGGCGACGAUCCAUAGCUGGUCUGAGAGGAUGAUCAGCCACACUGGGACUGAGACACGGCCCAGACUCCUACGGGAGGCAGCAGUGGGGAAUAUUGGACAAUGGGCGAAAGCCUGAUCCAGCAAUGCCGCGUGAGUGAUGAAGGCCUUAGGGUUGUAAAGCUCUUUUACCCGAGAUGAUAAUGACAGUAUCGGGAGAAUAAGCUCCGGCUAACUCCGUG